CCUACGGGAGGCUGCAGUGGGGAAUAUUGGACAAUGGGCGAAAGCCUGAUCCAGCCAUGCCGCGUGUGUGAAGAAGGCCUUCGGGUUGUAAAGCACUUUCAGUGGGGAAGAAAGCCUUGGGGCUAAUACCCUCGAGGAAGGACAUCACCCACAGAAGAAGCACCGGCUAACUCCGUGCCAGCAGCCGCGGUAAUACGGAGGGUGCGAGCGUUAAUCGGAAUUACUGGGCGUAAAGCGCGCGUAGGCGGUCUGAUAAGCCGGUUGUGAAAGCCCCGGGCUCAACCUGGGAACGGCAUCCGGACCUGUCAGGCUAGAGUGCAGGAGAGGAAGGUAGAAUUCCCGGUGUAGCGGUGAAAUGCGUAGAGAUCGGGAGGAAUACCAGUGGCGAAGGCGGCCUUCUGGACUGACACUGACGCUGAGGUGCGAAAGCGUGGGUAGCAAACAGGAUUAGAUACCCUAGUAGUC
This 465-nucleotide ribosomal RNA is filed under the name Vreelandella stevensii. RNAcentral describes it as "partial 16S ribosomal RNA". It matches the Rfam family "Bacterial small subunit ribosomal RNA", at positions 338 to 795 of the family's 1533-position model. Lineage: Bacteria; Pseudomonadati; Pseudomonadota; Gammaproteobacteria; Oceanospirillales; Halomonadaceae. The record is from RNAcentral.